GCGGGUGUAGUUCAAUGGUAGAACGUCAGCUUCCCAAGCUGAAGACGUGGGUUCGAUUCCCAUCACCCGCUCCAGAC
RNAcentral lists this transfer RNA (77 nucleotides) under Symbiobacterium thermophilum IAM 14863. RNAcentral describes it as "tRNA-Gly". It matches the Rfam family "tRNA". From Rfam's summary of the family: Transfer RNA (tRNA) molecules are approximately 80 nucleotides in length. Their secondary structure includes four short double-helical elements and three loops (D, anti-codon, and T loops). Further hydrogen bonds mediate the characteristic L-shaped molecular structure. tRNAs have two regions of fundamental functional importance: the anti-codon, which is responsible for specific mRNA codon recognition, and the 3' end, to which the tRNAs corresponding amino acid is attached (by aminoacyl-tRNA synthetases). tRNAs cope with the degeneracy of the genetic code in two manners: having more than one tRNA (with a specific anti-codon) for a particular amino acid; and 'wobble' base-pairing, i.e. permitting non-standard base-pairing at the 3rd anti-codon position. The record is from RNAcentral. Lineage: Bacteria; Bacillati; Bacillota; Clostridia; Eubacteriales; Symbiobacteriaceae.